Molecule: ribosomal RNA, 484 nt
Filed under: uncultured bacterium
Lineage: Bacteria
Description: partial 16S ribosomal RNA
Rfam family: Bacterial small subunit ribosomal RNA
Source: RNAcentral
AUUGAACGCUGGCGGCAGGCCUAACACAUGCAAGUCGAGCGGAUGAAGGGAGCUUGCUCCUGGAUUCAGCGGCGGACGGGUGAGUAAUGCCUAGGAAUCUGCCUGGUAGUGGGGGAUAACGUCCGGAAACGGGCGCUAAUACCGCAUACGUCCUGAGGGAGAAAGUGGGGGAUCUUCGGACCUCACGCUAUCAGAUGAGCCUAGGUCGGAUUAGCUAGUUGGUGGGGUAAAGGCCUACCAAGGCGACGAUCCGUAACUGGUCUGAGAGGAUGGUCAGUCACACUGGAACUGAGACACGGUCCAGACUCCUACGGGAGGCAGCAGUGGGGAAUAUUGGACAAUGGGCGAAAGCCUGAUCCAGCCAUGCCGCGUGUGUGAAGAAGGUCUUCGGAUUGUAAAGCACUUUAAGUUGGGAGGAAGGGCAGUAAGUUAAUACCUUGCUGUUCUGACGUUACCAACAGAAUAAGCACCGGCUAACUUCGUG